GAAAAAGGUUCCGGCCUCAGCCGGCGCACCUGGCGGAAGAGGAACCUCGCGAAGCGCUGUCGGGCACCGGUUUCUCCCAGCAAAGCUUGGAGGGUUUAGCUGCGGAGAGAGCUCAGCGAGCUCUCCUGUGCCUGUUUGGGGCGUGUGGGCUCCGGGAGCGUGAGGACCGGGAAGCUGGGAGGCUCCUUCCCUUCUGGUGGCUCCCUCACUGAGACCGGGCGGUUUGGUUGCGGGGGACGUGGAGGCGAGCCACCCUUGACCUUUGCAAGGACUCACCUUGAGCAGGAUAGAGGCACGUGAACGGUGACCCUCGGGGUGCAAUAAAUGCUGAGACAGAGCAGGUGUGCAAGGCACAGAGCUAGAGGCCAGAGGCUUUUCUUCUCCAACCUUCAGUCACCUCUUUGUAAAGUGAAGCCAGCAUCCUCCUCGGAGUUUACUGUGAAAAUUAAGUGAGCUGACGCGUGCUGUGUUUUGAUGUUGCUUGGCUCCUACAAACAUUCAGUGGGCCAGACACUGUUCUGAAAAAUACACAGUCGACUCUUGAACAACACAGGCUUGAACUGCAUGCGGCCACUAAUACUCAGACUUUCUUCUGCCUUUGCCACCCCUAAGACAGCAAGACCAACCCCUCCUGCUCCUCAGCCUACUCGAUGUGAUGAUG
RNAcentral lists this non-coding RNA (661 nucleotides) under Pongo abelii (Sumatran orangutan). The record is from RNAcentral. Lineage: Eukaryota; Metazoa; Chordata; Mammalia; Primates; Hominidae.